This 428-nucleotide ribosomal RNA is filed under the name uncultured bacterium. RNAcentral's name for it is "partial 16S ribosomal RNA". It matches the Rfam family "Bacterial small subunit ribosomal RNA", at positions 354 to 796 of the family's 1533-position model. The record is from RNAcentral.
GUAGGGAAUAUUGCACAAUGGAGGAAACUCUGAUGCAGCGACGCCGCGUGAGUGAUGAAGGCCUUCGGGUCGUAAAGCUCUGUCGCAGGGGAAUAACACAAUGAAGGUACCCUGUAAGUAAGGAUCGGCUAACUUCGUGCCAGCAGCCGCGGUAAGACGAGGGAUCCUAGCGUUGUUCGGAAUCAUUGGGCGUAAAGCGGAUGUAGGUGGCUAUGUAAGUCAGAUGUGAAAGCCUGGGGCUCAACCCCAGAAGUGCAUUUGAUACUGCGUAGCUUGAGUGUCGGAGAGGUUACUAGAAUUGUUGGUGUAGUGGUGAAAUACGUAGAUAUCAACAGGAAUACCGGAGGCGAAGGCGGGUAACUGGCCGAACACUGACACUGAGAUCCGAAAGCGUGGGGAUCAAACAGGAUUAGAUACCCGGGUAGUCC